GGAGUCGUGUCCGAGUGGUCGAAGGAGCACGAUUGGAAAUCGUGUAGUCAGCAAUGGCUCGAGAGUUCGAAUCUCUCCGACUCCGCCA
This 88-nucleotide transfer RNA is filed under the name bacterium. RNAcentral's name for it is "tRNA-Ser". It matches the Rfam family "tRNA". Rfam says of the family: Transfer RNA (tRNA) molecules are approximately 80 nucleotides in length. Their secondary structure includes four short double-helical elements and three loops (D, anti-codon, and T loops). Further hydrogen bonds mediate the characteristic L-shaped molecular structure. tRNAs have two regions of fundamental functional importance: the anti-codon, which is responsible for specific mRNA codon recognition, and the 3' end, to which the tRNAs corresponding amino acid is attached (by aminoacyl-tRNA synthetases). tRNAs cope with the degeneracy of the genetic code in two manners: having more than one tRNA (with a specific anti-codon) for a particular amino acid; and 'wobble' base-pairing, i.e. permitting non-standard base-pairing at the 3rd anti-codon position. The record is from RNAcentral.